AUUAGAUUUGCCUUUGUACUAAUUCUUUGCCUGGAUUCUCUCAACAACUCCUUCGCUUGAAAGCUUGCUUGUAUUUGGAAGGAUCAGCAAGCUAAGAGAAGCAGUUCUGAUGAAACUUCACUACUUCUGAUGAAGGAGGAAGUGGAGAUGCCAACAUUUGAUGCUGAUUCAGAGGCACCCACCACAUGCUAUAAAAGCUGC
Long non-coding RNA from Melospiza melodia melodia, 201 nucleotides. RefSeq lists it as uncharacterized. The record is from RefSeq and is a predicted model, not a curated record. The transcript is spliced from 3 exons. Lineage: Eukaryota; Metazoa; Chordata; Aves; Passeriformes; Passerellidae.